GAUGGCCACACUGUCUCCUCCCGAGACUCAGCGAAGUUGAAGUGUUUGUGAUGAUGCAAUCUCCCCGCGGCUAGACGGAAAGACCCCAUGAACCUUUACUGCAGCUUUGCAUUGGACUUUGAACCGAUCUGUGUAGGAUAGGUGGGAGGCUUUGAAGCGAGGACGCCAGUUCUCGUGGAGCCGUCCUUGAAAUACCACCCUGGUUUGUUUGAGGUUCUAACCUAGGCCCGUGAAUCCGGGUCGGGGACAGUGCAUGGUAGGCAGUUUGACUGGGGCGGUCUCCUCCCAAAGUGUAACGGAGGAGUUCGAAGGUACGCUUGGUACGGUCGGACAUCGUACCUAAAGUGCAAUGGCAAAAGCGUGCUUAACUGCGAGACCGACAAGUCGAGCAGGUGCGAAAGCAGG
This 405-nucleotide ribosomal RNA is filed under the name Salmonella enterica subsp. enterica serovar Vitkin. RNAcentral describes it as "partial 23S ribosomal RNA". It matches the Rfam family "Bacterial large subunit ribosomal RNA", at positions 2006 to 2409 of the family's 2925-position model. Lineage: Bacteria; Pseudomonadati; Pseudomonadota; Gammaproteobacteria; Enterobacterales; Enterobacteriaceae. The record is from RNAcentral.